This 301-nucleotide ribosomal RNA is filed under the name uncultured bacterium. RNAcentral describes it as "partial 16S ribosomal RNA". It matches the Rfam family "Bacterial small subunit ribosomal RNA", at positions 509 to 809 of the family's 1533-position model. The record is from RNAcentral.
CAGCCGCCGCGGUAAUACAGAGGGUGCGAGCGUUAAUCGGAUUUACUGGGCGUAAAGCGUGCGUAGGCGGCUUCUUAAGUCGGAUGUGAAAUCCCUGAGCUUAACUUAGGAAUUGCAUUCGAUACUGGGAAGCUAGAGUAUGGGAGAGGAUGGUAGAAUUCCAGGUGUAGCGGUGAAAUGCGUAGAGAUCUGGAGGAAUACCGAUGGCGAAGGCAGCCAUCUGGCCUAAUACUGACGCUGAGGUACGAAAGCAUGGGGAGCAAACAGGAUUAGAUACCCGAGUAGUCCCUGUCUCUUAUCA